This is a long non-coding RNA of Dipodomys spectabilis (banner-tailed kangaroo rat), 813 nucleotides long. RefSeq lists it as uncharacterized. The record is from RefSeq and is a predicted model, not a curated record. NCBI's taxonomy places the organism in Eukaryota, Metazoa, Chordata, Mammalia, Rodentia, Heteromyidae. The transcript has 3 exons.
GCCACGACAGGAGAGCAACCCUCCUGUCCCAGGUGGCAGAACUGCCGGCUUCUGAGGAAACGCACGCGCUGGGCCCGACGCUCAGCGCCACCCGCCCGGUGCCCCGGAGCCCGCACGCACCCGCGUCCCUCAGAGAAAACGGAUGACGGAAACGUCAAAGCCAGGCUGCUAAGAGGGCGCGUCAGAGCCGGGCGUCUGGGGACGGAGGGCACGUGCUCCCCCUGCUCCACAGGGUUUCCCACGAGUCCUUUCCCCGGAGCAGUGUGAGAGGAACAAAGGCUUCUUUGAGCCCUUUCAACCCAAAAUUAAUUUUGAAAAAAAUGGCCAAGAUGGGUCCUGACGUGCCAGAUGCGCUGACCUUCCACCGGCCACUCCCAGGCCCCCAGAGAAAGCGGCCCUGAUGCCCCGAGAGCUCUUGACCAGAGGCUGUGCGGCGUGGACAAGAGCGCUGCGUCUGGGGCUGGAGGCACUUGGAGGCUGAGGAGCCGCCCGGAGGCUGCAGGCCUUCCUCCUCACUCUUCCUUGCUAACGGUGACUCCCGCUGCUCACUGACUGGUCACACCACCCACGGCGCACACCCACCACAGCCAGAGCUUCCUGGAGUGCCGGGGAUGACUCUGGAUUCUGUACCUGGCGCUGGGUGUGUACACGCGCACAUCUGAGGGAAGGUGGGGGGGGCACAGAACCAGCGGGAAAUGGGUGAAAACGACACGAAUGCACGUGAACCACGGAGACGGGAGAGAGAACGAGAGAAAGGAGCAGAUGACAGAGCAAAAGGCGAGGGAUGCACACCUCACCCGAUGGAAAACUGGC